This 271-nucleotide unclassified non-coding RNA is filed under the name Hevea brasiliensis (rubber tree). Lineage: Eukaryota; Viridiplantae; Streptophyta; Magnoliopsida; Malpighiales; Euphorbiaceae. The record is from RNAcentral.
GGUUUGCAAGCCCUGCAAAACCAUGAAACUACAGUGUUAAAAUUAACUCUCACAAAAGAUAAAUACAUAUUGACAAAUUGCCAAAUAUCCAGUAUUCCAGUACAUGUAUAAUUGGCAUGAUAAUUAAUGAAAAUAUAGUGGUAAUAAUGAAAAAUAGGAUUUAUGUAAAUGAUUAACCAUCUGUGCCUUAAUCCAUGCAUGUGGGAUGAUUCCAGAGUGGAAAGGAAAAAAUCUUACCUCGACCCCACCUAUGCAGAAAAGAACCACCAAA